RNAcentral lists this non-coding RNA (26 nucleotides) under Homo sapiens (human). Lineage: Eukaryota; Metazoa; Chordata; Mammalia; Primates; Hominidae. The record is from RNAcentral.
GCUAAGAACCCAAAGGGACCAAGGAA